This is a long non-coding RNA of Labrus mixtus (cuckoo wrasse), 777 nucleotides long. RefSeq lists it as uncharacterized. Lineage: Eukaryota; Metazoa; Chordata; Actinopteri; Labriformes; Labridae. The transcript has 2 exons. The record is from RefSeq and is a predicted model, not a curated record.
UAGAGGGGUUUAUAGACAUGAUCAAAUACAGGAUCAGAGUGUUUGGAGGAGCUCUAACCCUAACCCCUGGUUGAAGAGGAGGAGGAUAUGUGACCUUUAAAGUGUCUGAAUGGAUCUUUGUCUCGAUUAAGGCUUUUUUAAAGAAAAGGUAAAAACUAAAAGUGGAUCAGUACUUUGUUAAAUAUUUGUUGAUGUAAGUUCUUGAUUUUUAUCAUCUUUAAUCUGAAGCUUUGACUCUUUGGUCUGUCGUCUGGUUUAUCAGAGUCAGAAACCUCAGAUCGGAUCCGUCAGAGGACGCCUUCUCCUCGGCUCCUUCUCACACUUUAUUGGAUGAGGAGACCACAUGGCCCCGCCCCUUGCUGACCUUCAACCAAUAAGAUCUGAGAACGAAGACUCUAAAUAUUCUCCCUUUACUCCUCUCACAGGCCAGAAGAUUAAGACUGAAACAAAGUGCCGAGGUGUAGACAACCCGGACAGGUGAACUCUCACCUGUCCUGUUUGUUGAUCAGAACCAGGACUGAGAGAGAGGAGCUGAACAUGUGGUCCCUUUGUUUUUCUUUUUACUUUGAUUAUCCACUAAGACUCCCUGCUCUAAAACACACCUGUGUCACCUUUCAGGUAAAACAGUAGUGAUUGUAUAUCAGGUGUGUUUCCCUCGUGCAGUCACAUGACGUCAGACAGGUGAACACAGAACCGCUCCGACGGAUGAACAAUGAUCUGGUUUUCCAUCUUAAAGUUCUGGACAAAAAUAAAACUGAAGAAAAAACAAACAAAAAC